CAGCAGUCAAGAAUAUUAGUCAAUGCUCGCAAGAGUGAACUAGCUAACUGAAAUCAUUUGUGUGUCACAAGUGAUAACGUAAGGGAAAAUAAUGAUAUUACCUUACUAUUAGUGUCGUCCAAAGCUGGUGCCAGAAGACUCGGUAAGGCCAGAGACGCAAACGUUAAUCGUCUUAAUCAGGCGUAAAGGGUUUGUAGGCUGCUUUAAAAUUUUAUAUUUAAUAUAGCCAAAGUAAAUAUAAAUGUAAUUAAAGCUUGAAUCAAAUAGAGGGUAAUCCGAAUAAUACUUAGAGUAGGGCUGAGAUCCGUAAAUCCUAAGGGGAAUACUAAUGGCGUAAGCUUUUUAUCCAUUAAUGAUUGACGCUGAGAAACGAAGGUGAGGAUAGGAAAUAGGAUUAGAUACCCCGGUACCCCUCUCUGUCAACGAUGAAUGGUAGUUAUUAGUUUAUUAAUUAGUGACGAAGUUAACAUGUUUACCAUUCCGCCUUGUGAGUACGACUGCAAAGUUGAAAACAAAAAAAUUAGUCGGUCUCGGAGUACACGAAGUGAAGCAUGUUAUUUAAUUC
This 565-nucleotide ribosomal RNA is filed under the name Climacocystis borealis. RNAcentral's name for it is "partial small subunit ribosomal RNA". It matches the Rfam family "Bacterial small subunit ribosomal RNA", at positions 349 to 952 of the family's 1533-position model. Lineage: Eukaryota; Fungi; Basidiomycota; Agaricomycetes; Polyporales; Climacocystaceae. The record is from RNAcentral.